RNAcentral lists this microRNA precursor (84 nucleotides) under Bombyx mori (domestic silkworm). RNAcentral describes it as "mir-2807 microRNA precursor family". It matches the Rfam family "mir-2807 microRNA precursor family". The record is from Rfam by way of RNAcentral. Lineage: Eukaryota; Metazoa; Arthropoda; Insecta; Lepidoptera; Bombycidae.
UUAGCUCAUAUUUGUAUGGAAUGGGAUCGUUUGCGUGCGUUUGCCGCUAGGGGCGCUGUUCCAACUGCAUACAAAAUUGGGUUA